AAUCCAAUUCAAUUGGACUUGAUCUAAAAAUAUUUACUCAAUCAAAUUGAGUUAAUUAGCGAUCAAAUCACUAAUUAAACCUCUCAUAAAUACUGAGUCCAAAUCCGAUGGGCAAUCAGGCAUCAGAAUUCAUCGAUAUGUAAUCCUGAUUGAAAAAUCCCAACCAGUGAGACUUUUAACCCCGGUACCCAUAAUGUGUGAAACUCGUGAUCAGAGAAUCCUGAUUCUCGAUCACUGAGUCUCAAACAUGUAGGAUUCUACAUCAGCCAUCAGAUCAGAUAGGAACCUCUAAUGUGUGUGACCCCACAGGUUCGAACCUAAGCCGGUAGCACAGGAACCAAUUCCUGUACUAAUCGAAGUGACCAUCUAACAAUGGUACCCGACGUCUGGAUAGGUCGAAGAGUCGCAAUCACAAUACUCAGAACCUACAUGAAUAUGGUUAUUGUAUAAUUCAUCCUUUUGACCCCUGUGUUUAGG
This 477-nucleotide long non-coding RNA is filed under the name Elaeis guineensis (African oil palm). RNAcentral describes it as "long non-coding RNA (EGUI_LNC028753)". Lineage: Eukaryota; Viridiplantae; Streptophyta; Magnoliopsida; Arecales; Arecaceae. The record is from RNAcentral.